CUUUUAUUUUAUUUCUUUAUUCCCUUUAGAUUUAUGAAGUACUAUAGAUCACGGACUGACCUUAUUUUUACAGUUGCUGACCGGUAACGUUUGCGUUAUGGUUUGGUUAUCGUGGGGAUUCUGCUGUAGAACUGCCGGUUAUUAUAACCUGACUCUAUUUCUGAGUCACUGACCAGUAUCUCUUGCUGUGUGAGUUUGGUGUUUAGUAGGCAGAAUCGGCAAUAGUACUGCCAAUCAUGGCCUGCCUCCAUGGUCACUGACUGUUUACUGGUGCAGUGUAGUUUGGUCUACUUCGUUGUUCAUGACGUUAUUGUCUUUUGCACUGACUAGUACGGCCUAAUUCCAUUUUGGAGUCACUACCGUUGUUACGAAAAG
RNAcentral lists this long non-coding RNA (375 nucleotides) under Mytilus galloprovincialis (Mediterranean mussel). The record is from RNAcentral. Lineage: Eukaryota; Metazoa; Mollusca; Bivalvia; Mytilida; Mytilidae.